AUUGAACGCUGGCGGCAGGCUUAACACAUGCAAGUCGAGCGAGCGGCGGACGGGUGAGUAAUGUCUGGGAAACUGCCUGAUGGAGGGGGAUAACUACUGGAAACGGUAGCUAAUACCGCAUACCAUCAGAUGUGCCCAGAUGGGAUUAGCUAGUAGGUGGGGUAAUGGCUCACCUAGGCGAAUAUCCCUAGCUGGUCUGAGAGGAUGACCAGCCAACCUGGAACGGAGACACAGUCCAUACUCCUACGGGAGGCAGCAGUGGGGAAUAUUGCACAAGGGGCGCAAGCCAGAGGAAGCCAUGCCGCGUGUGUGAAGAGGGCCUUCGGGUUGUAAAGCACUUUCAGCGGGUAGGCGUUACUCGCAGAAGAAGCACCGGCUAACUCCGUGCCAGCAGCCGCGGUAAUAC
Molecule: ribosomal RNA, 406 nt
Filed under: uncultured bacterium
Lineage: Bacteria
Description: partial 16S ribosomal RNA
Rfam family: Bacterial small subunit ribosomal RNA
Source: RNAcentral